GACGAACGCUGGCGGCGUGCUUAACACAUGCAAGUCGAACGGAAAGGCCCUGCUUUUGUGGGGUGCUCGAGUGGCGAACGGGUGAGUAACACGUGAGUAACCUGCCCUUGACUUUGGGAUAACUUCAGGAAACUGGGGCUAAUACCGGAUAGGAGCUCCUGCUGCAUGGUGGGGGUUGGAAAGUUUCGGCGGUUGGGGAUGGACUCGCGGCUUAUCAGCUUGUUGGUGGGGUAGUGGCUUACCAAGGCUUUGACGGGUAGCCGGCCUGAGAGGGUGACCGGCCACAUUGGGACUGAGAUACGGCCCAGACUCCUACGGGAGGCAGCAGUGGGGAAUAUUGCACAAUGGGCGGAAGCCUGAUGCAGCAACGCCGCGUGCGGGAUGACGGCCUUCGGGUUGUAAACCGCUUUCGCCUGUGACAAAGCGUGAGUGACGGUAUGGGUAAAGAAGCACCGGCUAACUACGUGCCAGCAGCCGCGGUGAUACGUAGGGUGCGAGCGUUGUCCGGAUUUAUUGGGCGUAAAGGGCUCGUAGGUGGUUGAUCGCGUCGGAAGUGUAAUCUUGGGGCUUAACCCUGAGCGUGCUUUCGAUACGGGUUGACUUGAGGAAGGUAGGGGAGAAUGGAAUUCCUGGUGGAGCGGUGGAAUGCGCAGAUAUCAGGAGGAACACCAGUGGCGAAGGCGGUUCUCUGGGCCUUUCCUGACGCUGAGGAGCGAAAGCGUGGGGAGCGAACAGGCUUAGAUACCCUGGUAGUCCACGCUGUAAACGGUGGGUACUAGGUGUGGGGUCCAUUCCACGGGUUCCGUGCCGUAGCUAACGCUUUAAGUACCCCGCCUGGGGAGUACGGCCGCAAGGCUAAAACUCAAAGGAAUUGACGGGGCCCCGCACAAGCGGCGGAGCAUGCGGAUUAAUUCGAUGCAACGCGUAGAACCUUACCUGGGUUUGACAUGGAUCGGGAGUGCUCAGAGAUGGGUGUGCCUCUUUUGGGGUCGGUUCACAGGUGGUGCAUGGCUGUCGUCAGCUCGUGUCGUGAGAUGUUGGGUUAAGUCCCGCAACGAGCGCAACCCUUGUUCACUGUUGCCAGCACGUUAUGGUGGGGACUCAGUGGAGACCGCCGGGGUCAACUCGGAGGAAGGUGGGGAUGACGUCAAGUCAUCAUGCCCCUUAUGUCCAGGGCUUCACGCAUGCUACAAUGGCUGGUACAGAGAGUGGCGAGCCUGUGAGGGUGAGCGAAUCUCGGAAAGCCGGUCUCAGUUCGGAUUGGGGUCUGCAACUCGACCUCAUGAAGUCGGAGUCGCUAGUAAUCGCAGAUCAGCAACGCUGCGGUGAAUACGUUCCCGGG
RNAcentral lists this ribosomal RNA (1342 nucleotides) under uncultured bacterium. RNAcentral describes it as "16S ribosomal RNA". It matches the Rfam family "Bacterial small subunit ribosomal RNA", at positions 28 to 1378 of the family's 1533-position model. The record is from RNAcentral.